Molecule: ribosomal RNA, 498 nt
Filed under: uncultured bacterium
Lineage: Bacteria
Description: bacterial SSU rRNA
Rfam family: Bacterial small subunit ribosomal RNA
Source: RNAcentral
AGUUUGAUCAUGGCUCAGGAUGAACGCUAGCGGCAGGCUUAACACAUGCAAGUCGAGGGUAUAGUUCUUCGGAACUAGAGACCGGCGCACGGGUGCGUAACGCGUAUGCAAUCUACCUUUUGCAGAGGGAUAGCCCAGAGAAAUUUGGAUUAAUACCUCAUAGUAUGUGAGAAUGGCAUCAUUUUCACAUUAAAAGUCACAACGGCAAAAAGAUGAGCAUGCGUCCCAUUAGCUUGUUGGUAAGGUAACGGCUUACCAAGGCUACGAUGGGUAGGGGGUCCUGAGAGGGAGAUCCCCCACACUGGUACUGAGACACGGACCAGACUCCUACGGGGGGCAGCAGUGAGGAAUAUUGGACAAUGGGCGCAAGCCUGAUCCAGCCAUGCCGCGUGCAGGAUGACGGUCCUAUGGAUUGUAAACUGCUUUUGUACAGGAAGAAACACUGGUUCGUGAACCAGCUUGACGGUACUGUAAGAAUAAGGAUCGGCUAACUCCGUG